UCUGCCCGGUGAUUAUUUUUAACGGCCGCAGUACUUUGACUGUGCUAAGGUAGCAAAAUAAAUAGGCUUUUAAUUGAGGUCGAGUAUGAAUGGCAUUAUGGGUGAAAGCUGUCUUAUAAUAUACAAUAUAAAUUUAUUUAGUGGGUGAAAAUACCCACAUAAAAACAUUAGACGAGAAGACCCUUAGAGUUUUUAAUAAGCAUGCAAUUAAAUGCGAUAUGAUUUUUUGUUGGGGCGACACAGUAUCAUUUAGCAUACUUAUACUACACACAUUACAAAUAUUUUUAUAAAAAUGAAUAUAACUACCUAAGGGAUAACAGCAUAAUUUUUUUUAAGAUUGUGACCUCGAUGUUGGACUAGGGACUAAAUAUAUUAGCCAUAUAUUUAGAAUAUUCUGUU
Molecule: ribosomal RNA, 399 nt
Filed under: Arion sp. NMW.Z
Lineage: Eukaryota; Metazoa; Mollusca; Gastropoda; Stylommatophora; Arionidae
Description: partial 16S ribosomal RNA
Source: RNAcentral